Long non-coding RNA from Oncorhynchus tshawytscha (Chinook salmon), 1190 nucleotides. NCBI's taxonomy places the organism in Eukaryota, Metazoa, Chordata, Actinopteri, Salmoniformes, Salmonidae. The record is from Ensembl.
AUUUUAUAAUGAAAAUGUUGAAAAAGACUAAUUCCAUCUUCCAUCAAAUGAAUAUGAACAUUAAUUAAACCAACUUUGCAAAAUUAAGAUUUAUGCUACUUUCAGAACUCUGGGAUUGAUCAGUGUUGUCGUAUUUCAAUUAUUAUUAUUUUUUAUGUCGACAGACGUAUGUAUUGAUUUAUUUGAAUUUUGUCUUGUAAAAAGGCAACGCAAUCUGCUUACUAUCUUGCACACUCGUAAAGAUGUGGAUCUUGUCUCGGGAAGGCCAGGAUUUCCAGAGUUUAAACUCCAUUUUUAUUUAAAUUUGAGAGUUAUAAAUUAGAAUAACUUUGAGAAAUCGAACUCCAAGCACUGAAAGUUAGGGAUUUAAAUAGAAUAUGAAAUACCAUUUGAUUCUAAAAAAUCUGUAGCGGUUACAUAUUUACCAAAUAAAUGACUGAAAAUGAACUUUUUGAGAGGGAAAAAGUGGAGUGCUUUACAUGUAAAAUCGAUGUAGAAAUGGCUUUACAUUGAAACAAAAAUUAUCAAUGGUUUUAGUUGUACUUAUGUAUUUUCUUGCGGUUCCAUCCUGUAACGUUCAGGAGCAUUGUGCAUUACUCUUAUGUCUCUGUUCCUGUGGCAGGUAUUCAAUGAGUUAAGAGAUUCUAAUGUCUAAUAGAUGGGUUUCAGAAGAAAGAUUUGAAGUGGAGGGGGGAAGCUGGUUUUUAAAGGCUCAUGAUCUAUGCACAAGUGGGAGGGAGAGUCCAGGCCUGCUUUUCUCUUGGGGCCCAGGACUGGUACUCUGGGGUUCAGGGUUUGAUGUAGGGGUGUGUCAUUGUUGUGCUAUGUUAGAUUUUCUUCCCCCUCAUCAGAUUUAUGGCAACUUUAUUGCUUCACCAUGCUGUGUAAUCCUUAACCAAUGAGCGCUUAUCCUUCUGCUAAAGCACUGUGGGUUAUACUGAGAAAAAGCCCAUGAUUUAAGGCAAUCCGGUUUUUGUAAGGGGGAGGAGGUGAUAAUCUGCCUAUCGCCUUUUUUAUUUAAAAAAAAAAAUGUUAAGGAGAAGUGUCUGUGCUGAGAAAGUUAUGGCUUUUAAUGUUUUUUUUUCUCCUCAUAGAAUGUAAUUGUUAAUGAUAUGCACCGGGAAAAACAUGUUUCCAUAAGUUAUGGCGCUUCUUUCGGACUAUAUUAAUAAAUUGACAUUUUUCUUGGC